GAUCCACCUGGGGAGUACGACCGCAAGGUUGUAACUCAAAGGAAUUGACGUGGGCCCGCACAAGCGGAGGAACAUGUGGUUUAAUUCGAUGAUACGCGAGGAACCUUACCUGGGCUUAAAUGUAGAACGACGGACCGGGAAACUGGUCUUUCUUCGGACGGUCUGCAAGGUGCUGCAUGGCUGUCGUCAGCUCGUGCCGUGAGGUGUCGGGUUAAGUCCCAUGACGAGCGCAACCCUCAUCAUUAGUUGCCAGCGGGUAAUGCCGGGGACUCUAAUGAAACUGCCGGUGUAAACCGAGAGGAAGGUGGGGAUGACGUCAAGUCAGCACGGCCCUUAUGUCCAGGGCUACACACGUGUUACAAUGGUCGGUACAAAGGGCAGCCACCUGGCGACAGGAUGCUAAUCUCGAAAACCGAUCUCAGUUCGGAUCGAAGUCUGCAACUCGACUUCGUGAAGCUGGAUUCGCUAGUAAUCGCGCAUCAGCCAUGGCGCGGUGAAUACGUUCCCGGGCCUUGUACACACCGCCCGUCAAGCCAUGGAAGCUGGGGGUACCUGAAGUCCGUAACCG
Molecule: ribosomal RNA, 568 nt
Filed under: uncultured organism
Description: bacterial SSU rRNA
Rfam family: Bacterial small subunit ribosomal RNA
Source: RNAcentral